UGCCUGUGGAACUUCUCCUCGCUGCUGCUCCUGUCAACCACGUGGCCAGACCUGCUGCCUGGUUCUGAGUCCUGUACCCCAGGAGAAUCCAUUUCAAUCCAGAUCAAAGAGACCAGAACAUACCCCAGAAGAGACCAAAAUGGGAAUAGUGAUCUUGUCACUCACUUGCACAGUGGAGAAAGCCUCACUAGGCUGAUGAUCUUCUGCUGCCCUUCCUGUACCUCUGCCAUGAAAAAGUCACACUCCAGAACUUUCAUCAGCUGAGGAAUUUAUACUAAUUUCUAAGCUACUUGCUUGUUUUGUGGCUUUCAGUAGCAGAGCAGUGGCAAGAUCUCACUAUGGACAUGAAAGAGAGAGGGUGAAUGAAACCAAAGGUUCGCAGACCUCCAGUGACCUGACUGAAGGUGAACGGAGCACCUACUCCCUUGUGGGCUAUGGACAACAAAAGUCAUUGAUAUGCACAACCUUUACUACCUUCCUGAGGCACCACGUCUUGAAGCAGAGCUUUGUGCUUCUUUUGCAGUCAGUUGCUUCUGUUAGCCAAGCUGCUGCAGGCAAAACACGUUAAGAGGUUUUUUUUUAUCAAGGCUGCAUUCCUGCCUUCUGUGUUAUUAAUAAAUGAGUAAAGAUAGCUUGUAGUAUU
Molecule: long non-coding RNA, 643 nt
Organism: Pogoniulus pusillus (Red-fronted tinkerbird)
Lineage: Eukaryota; Metazoa; Chordata; Aves; Piciformes; Lybiidae
Exons: 2
Source: RefSeq, a predicted model, not a curated record